UACGUAGGGUGCAAGCGUUGUCCGGAAUUAUUGGGCGUAAAGAGCUCGUAGGCGGUUUGUUGCGUCGGCUGUGAAAUCCCGAGGCUCAACCUCGGGUCUGCAGUCGAUACGAGCAAACUAGAGUGUUGCAGGGGAGACUGGAAUUCCUGGUGUAGCGGUGAAAUGCGCAGAUAUCAGGAGGAACACCGGGUGGCGAAGGCGGGGUCUCUGGGGCAACAACUGACGCUGAGGAGCGAAAGCGUGGGGGAGCGAACAGG
This 257-nucleotide ribosomal RNA is filed under the name uncultured bacterium. RNAcentral's name for it is "partial 16S ribosomal RNA". It matches the Rfam family "Bacterial small subunit ribosomal RNA", at positions 524 to 776 of the family's 1533-position model. The record is from RNAcentral.